RNAcentral lists this ribosomal RNA (408 nucleotides) under Triticum aestivum (bread wheat). RNAcentral describes it as "partial small subunit ribosomal RNA". Lineage: Eukaryota; Viridiplantae; Streptophyta; Magnoliopsida; Poales; Poaceae. The record is from RNAcentral.
AUGUUUGGCAAGUUUGUUAUGUGGGAUAGGGUCAAGAGCACUAGAGCCAACUUGAUGGUUAAGGUUAAGGUUGAGGAGCUCAGAGAUAUUCCAGCUAGUGUUGUCAUUUGGGAAGGGGAUGAUUUCCAGUUUGAAUCUCACACUGUUACAGUGGUUAUUUUGGAACAAAACAUUUUGGGUCUCGAAGCCCCAGACGAAGAUUCAAUUCAUCCAUUUGGUAAUCCACACCCUAUGCCACAACAUGCUCAUUUCCAUCCAAACCAGCAUACUCAUUUUUUGGGACCCAUCCAGCAACAUGAAAAUGGAGAGCCACCAGAUGAGCGAGUGCAAGACCCUCAACUUGAUCUCCAGUUGGGUUUUUCUCAAGACGGUAAUGCUAACAUGGAUUUAGAUGAGGAAGAUGAAUAG